Long non-coding RNA from Marmota flaviventris (yellow-bellied marmot), 730 nucleotides. RefSeq lists it as uncharacterized. The record is from RefSeq and is a predicted model, not a curated record. NCBI's taxonomy places the organism in Eukaryota, Metazoa, Chordata, Mammalia, Rodentia, Sciuridae.
UUUGGCCAACAGAAUACACUGAAGCCCAGAGCCCAGGCUGGGAGAGGCCGUGUGACCUCCAAUCUUUCAGGCCCCUGCUGUCUUGGAGGACAAGACCACGUGCAUCAUGUGGAGCCUAAAAGGGCUGGGCCAGCAGCUGGGGCCUCCCUGGAGCAUCCUGCCCCAGCAGAGCCUGCCAGGAAGUCUUCCUGGAUUCCCUCCCAGCUCAGACAGGAAGAGCCUCUCCCACGUCCACUCUCUCUUCCUCAUCUGGUCUCCAUAACUGCCGGUAAAAACUAUGGCUCUCCUCUCUGUCCUACUUCAAGAUGGGGCAACCGAAUGCAGAGACAUCUGUGAGCUGCCCAAGGCCACACCUUCAGAAAUGCCAUCUGGAAUCCCAGAGACUUGGGAGGCUGAGGCAGGAGGAUCACGGGCUACAGGCCAGCCUCAGCAACGUAGCUAGACCCAUCUCAAAACAAACACACAAAAGCCCCAAACCAAACCAAUUAGUGCCUCCAGAGUUUGAAUCCAGGCCAAAGUUGGUCUUAAGUACCCUUACAAUAUUGCUGUCCCCGGUGACGGGCAUUACACAGUGAACAACUGCUUUCUUCGGAUGAAAUAAGGGAUCUUCCUGAGCCUCAGUUUCCCCAUGUGGUGGACGAGGUCUGGAGUUCCCGGGUCUCUCUGGUCUAUGCAAUCUAUCCCUGUGCGCCUGGCAACUGUAGGUGCUCAAUAAAUGCCCAUAGAACAA